Molecule: ribosomal RNA, 800 nt
Filed under: uncultured bacterium
Lineage: Bacteria
Description: bacterial SSU rRNA
Rfam family: Bacterial small subunit ribosomal RNA
Source: RNAcentral
ACGGUAGCAGGACUUGCUGGCGCUGACUGGUGGCGCACGGGUGAGUAACGCGUGGGUUACCUGCCCUUAAGUGGGGAAGGCUUGGAGAAAUCCAAGCUAAUACCGCAUAAUACCUUCGGGUUAAAGAGGGGGAUCUUCGGACCUCUCGCUUAUGGAUGGUCCCGCGUCUGAUUAGCUAAUUGGUAUGGUAAUGGCCUACCCCGGCAAUGAUCCGUACCUGGUCUGAGAGGAUGAUAAGACACACUGGAACUGAAACGCGGUCCAGACUCCUACCGGAGGCAACGGUGGGGAAUUUUGCACAAUGGGCGAAAGCCUGAUGCAACGACGCCGCGUGCGGGAAGAAGGCCUUCGGGUUGUAAACCGCUUUCUCACGGAAGAAGGAAUGAGAGCUAAUACCUCUCUGCCUUGACGGUACCUGUAGAAGAAACACCGGCUAAUUUCGUGCCAUCACCCGCGGUAAUACAAAAGGUGCAAGCGUUGUUCGGAUUUACUGGGCGUAAAGAGAUCGUAGGUGGCUUGUUAAUUCGGAUGUGAAAUCCCGGGGCUCAACCCCGGAACUGCAUCCGAUACUGGCAGGCUUGAGUUUGGGAGGGGUAAGCGGAAUUCCGUGUGUAGCAGUGAAAUGCGUGCAUAUACGGAGGAACACCUGAGGCGAAGCGGCUUACUGGACCAAUACUGACACUGAGGAUCGAAAGCGUGGGUAGCAAACAGGAUUAGAUACCCUGGUAGUCCACGCCCUACACGAUGUCAACUAGCUCGGUGCGGGUAUCGACCCCUGCAGUGGCGCAGCUAACGCGAUA